CGAGUGGGACAAAAACCAGUUUAGAACCUACACGUACAGAUACGGGCAGGGGUUCUAUGAUGUCCUGGUAGUUGAUGACGUUCGACAACUGAAAUCUGGAGAGCUUAUGGCUGUCGGAUGUCAUGUAAAACCAGGUCGAGAUGGCAAAUUUAGAAAUGUCCACGCGUGGAACAAAGGUGUUGUUAUCAAGAUGAAACCGCCAAAAGCAAGGGUACGAUGGGACAGCGGGAUAAGAGGAGAAUACAGUUAUGGCCAGGACGGCAAAUUAGAGAUAGAAAUUUGGUACGCAUGUUUGCAAACAAUUA
Long non-coding RNA from Dreissena polymorpha, 305 nucleotides. RefSeq lists it as uncharacterized. Lineage: Eukaryota; Metazoa; Mollusca; Bivalvia; Myida; Dreissenidae. The record is from RefSeq and is a predicted model, not a curated record. The transcript is spliced from 3 exons.